Molecule: long non-coding RNA, 793 nt
Organism: Aphis gossypii (cotton aphid)
Lineage: Eukaryota; Metazoa; Arthropoda; Insecta; Hemiptera; Aphididae
Exons: 2
Source: RefSeq, a predicted model, not a curated record
UCGAGGCCUUGACGGAUUACUCCCUGCGCGUAAAAAAGUUUCACUUCAAUAAUAUAUUUCGGGUAUUAGCUGUAUUGAUACAACUAAAAUAAAUUACAGUGGAAAUUAAUAUUAGUGUAUAAUUUGUAUUAAAAAAAAAAAAAAACAAGUGAACAUUUUCUAUAAAUUUCUUUAACUCUUCUUAUGUUAAUAUUAUACAUCUAAACAUUUUUACUUUGAAUCUCGGAAGAAGACUGAAGAGAAAGACUAUGUUUCUGUGCUGAAAGGGUUGUACACAUACCUAGGUCACGCCAUCCCCCCACCAGCGUGCUAGCGAUAGCCAGGCAGACGAAUCACCCUAUACGAGCGCCCGCUCAACGCUGAAUAUAAUAUGAGCUCCUGGUCGGCGAAAUGCGCGUAUUACGUGUGCAGGACAAAUAUAUUGUCGGCGCGAAAAACCGCGUCGGCGUGUCGGCCACCCGGUAAAAGUAUGUGGCGCGCUCGCUUCAAAAGGGCCCCUUGCGGCAUUUCUUUUCUCGCAAAGGUUUUCGUUUGGCGAUUGUGGCGUCAUGGGACCCUGGUACCGGAAAACAGUAUCGCCGACGCGGUCGAACUUUUACCGGAAAAGUUUCCCUCAAAAGGGUUUUCCGCCCACGGCUCACACGUGAUUUUCCAUGGCGUUUAUGCACCGCUGCUCCACUUGGCGACCAUGAAGGGUCGCGACCGCGACUCCACCGCGUACUUAUACACUUAUUAAUUGUCCAUUGUAGUUUUUAACAUAUUUAAUUCAUCUCUAUUACAAGGUUUUAAUAUA